GGGCGCGUAGAUCAGUGGCUAGAUCGUCGGUUUCCGGUACCGAAGGCCGGGAGUUCGAACCUCCCCGUGCUCG
Catenaria anguillulae PL171 is the source of this 73-nucleotide transfer RNA. It matches the Rfam family "tRNA". From Rfam's summary of the family: Transfer RNA (tRNA) molecules are approximately 80 nucleotides in length. Their secondary structure includes four short double-helical elements and three loops (D, anti-codon, and T loops). The record is from Rfam. NCBI's taxonomy places the organism in Eukaryota, Fungi, Blastocladiomycota, Blastocladiomycetes, Blastocladiales, Catenariaceae.